AACGCACAUUGCGCCCCCCGGCAUUCCGGGGGGCACGUCUGUCCGAGCGUCAUUGUCACACCCUCAAGCCCCGGCUUGUCGUUGAGGUCGCCCCCGCCUGGCUCAGCCUGCGGACGGCCUCCAAAGUGAACGGCGGUGGCCCCGCGGUGGUCUCCCGGCACAGCGAGCCCCUGUCGGCACGUGUCGCACGGAGAUCGUCGGGGCCCCCGGCCAUCCGCACCCCCCCCUUCAAGUUGACCUCGGAUCAGACGGGAAUACCCGCUGAACUUAA
This 271-nucleotide unclassified non-coding RNA is filed under the name Alternaria sp. RNAcentral's name for it is "partial contains 5.8S ribosomal RNA, internal transcribed spacer 2, and large subunit ribosomal RNA". The record is from RNAcentral. Lineage: Eukaryota; Fungi; Ascomycota; Dothideomycetes; Pleosporales; Pleosporaceae.